GUGCUCACUUUGGCAGCACAUAUACUAAAACUGGAACGACACAGAGGCGAUUAGCAUGGCCCCUGUGCAAGGGUGACACGCAAAUGCAUAAAGCGUUCCAUAUAUUU
This 107-nucleotide small nuclear RNA is filed under the name Jaculus jaculus (lesser Egyptian jerboa). Lineage: Eukaryota; Metazoa; Chordata; Mammalia; Rodentia; Dipodidae. The record is from RNAcentral.